GAACUUGCCUGCUCCUCGGUGACUUUGUUCGCUCCUCUGCGAUAAAAAGCAGAUAACUCGGUGGUUUUUUUCGCAGUAACGACAUGUGCAGCAGGACAUAAUGAAGCUUUAUGUGGAUGUUGCAGCAGUGCGUGGAGGAAGUUCCUUUUAACGGAUGAUGCAGGUACAAGGUAGACAACAUAUCUUGAAUUGCUAAAAAAACGCUGUUUGCGUCAGAGUAAUGUCAAAGUGCUUACAGUGCAGGUAGUGAUAUAUAGAACCUACUGCAGUGAAGGCACUUGUAGCAUUAUGUUGACAACUGCCUCAGGAGAUCUCGCAGGACUUCAGAGAACGGAAAGGUGUUGAUCUCCAGGUUUGUACUUCUAGAAAUCCAACAUGCUGUACUAAAAAGAUGGAAGAAAGGUAUCAGACUGCAGCAAAGCAAGAUAUACAGCAAGUGCUUCAAACAUCAAGUGCUACAUUAAAAUUUUUAAUAUCUCGUAAUGCAGCUGCUUUUCAAGAAGUGGAGUCAUGUACUGCAUUUUCAAAGGCUUUGUGAGAGGUGCUAUUUUCUCCUUGUAAUUGUGAAAGAACAUUUUUGUCUGCCUGGUUAUCC
Molecule: long non-coding RNA, 595 nt
Filed under: Manacus vitellinus (golden-collared manakin)
Lineage: Eukaryota; Metazoa; Chordata; Aves; Passeriformes; Pipridae
Description: lncRNA (ENSMVIG00005011771.1)
Rfam family: mir-17 microRNA precursor family (bases 215-293)
Source: RNAcentral